AACUUUCAACAAUGGAUCUCUUGGUUCCGGCAUCGAUGAAAAACGCAGCGAAAUGCGAUAACUAAUGUGAAUUGCAGAAUUCAGUGAAUCAUCGAGUCUUUGAACGCACAUUGCGCCCCCUGGUAUUCCGGGGGGCAUGCCUGUCCGAGCGUCAUUG
Molecule: ribosomal RNA, 157 nt
Filed under: Aspergillus tubingensis
Lineage: Eukaryota; Fungi; Ascomycota; Eurotiomycetes; Eurotiales; Aspergillaceae
Description: 5.8S ribosomal RNA
Rfam family: 5.8S ribosomal RNA
About the family: 5.8S ribosomal RNA (5.8S rRNA) is a component of the large subunit of the eukaryotic ribosome.
Source: RNAcentral